CUUGACAUCCAGAGAAUUUAGCAGAGAUGCUUUAGUGCCUUCGGGAACUCUGAGACAAGUGCUGCAUGGCUGUCGUCAGCUCGUGUUGUGAAAUGUUGGGUUAAGUCCGCAACGAGCGCAACCCUUAUCCUUUGUUGCCAGCACGUAAUGGUGGGAACUCAAAGGAGACUGCCGGUGAUAAACCGGAGGAAGGUGGGGAUGACGUCAAGUCAUCAUGGCCCUUACGAGUAGGGCUACACACGUGCUACAAUGGCGUAUACAAAGAGAAGCGACCUCGCGAGAGCAAGCGGACCUCAUAAAGUGCGUCGUAGUCCGGAUUGGAGUCUGCAACUCGACUCCAUGAAGUCGGAAUCGCUAGUAAUCGUAAAUCAGAAUGUUACGGUGAAUACGUUCCCGGGCCUUGUACACACCGCCCGUCACACCAUGGGAGUGGGUUGCAAAAGAAGUAGAUAGCUUAACCUUCGGGAGGGCGUUUACCACUUUGUGAUUCAUGACUGGGGUGAAGUCGUAACAAGGUAAGCGUAGUGCU
Molecule: ribosomal RNA, 529 nt
Filed under: uncultured bacterium
Lineage: Bacteria
Description: bacterial SSU rRNA
Rfam family: Bacterial small subunit ribosomal RNA
Source: RNAcentral